RNAcentral lists this ribosomal RNA (593 nucleotides) under Epinephelus coeruleopunctatus (whitespotted grouper). RNAcentral describes it as "partial 16S ribosomal RNA". It matches the Rfam family "Bacterial large subunit ribosomal RNA", at positions 1811 to 2608 of the family's 2925-position model. The record is from RNAcentral. Lineage: Eukaryota; Metazoa; Chordata; Actinopteri; Perciformes; Serranidae.
AAACAUCGCCUCUUGCUAAACCAAAAAGUAUAAGAGGUCCCGCCUGCCCUGUGACUAUAUGUUUAACGGCCGCGGUAUUUUGACCGUGCGAAGGUAGCGCAAUCACUUGUCUCUUAAAUGGGGACCUGUAUGAAUGGCAUAACGAGGGCUUGACUGUCUCCUCUUUCAAGUCAAUGAAAUUGAUCUCCCCGUGCAGAAGCGGGGAUAAGCACAUAAGACGAGAAGACCCUAUGGAGCUUCAGACACUAAAGCAGACCAGCAUUAAUACCCUGAACAUAGGGCACGAAUAAACUGAUCCCUGCCCUAAUGUCUUUGGUUGGGGCGACCGCGGAGAAACACAAAACCCCCGCAAGGACCGAAUGUACUACAUUCACAACCAAGAGCGACAGCUCUAAUUAACAGAACUUCUGACCAAUAAGAUCCGGCAAUGCCGAUUAAUGAACCGAGUUACCCUAGGGAUAACAGCGCAAUCUCCUCUUAGAGCCCAUAUCGCCGAGGAGGUUUACGACCUCGAUGUUGGAUCAGGACAUCCUAAUGGUGCAGCCGCUAUUAAGGGUUCGUUUGUUCAACGAUUAAAGUCCUACGUGAUCUGA